UACGUAGGGGGCAAGCGUUGUCCGGAUUUAUUGGGCGUAAAGAGCGUGUAGGCGGCCAGGUAGGUCGGUUGUGAAAACUGGAGGCUCAACCUUGAGAGGUCGACCGAAACCAUCUGGCUAGAGUCCGGGAGAGGAGAGUGGAAUUCCUGGUGUAGCGGUGAAAUGCGCAGAUAUCAGGAAGAACACCCGUGGCGAAAGCGGCUCUCUGGAACGGUACUGACGCUGAGACGCGAAAGCGUGGGGAGCGAACAGG
This 253-nucleotide ribosomal RNA is filed under the name uncultured bacterium. Its description in RNAcentral is "partial 16S ribosomal RNA". It matches the Rfam family "Bacterial small subunit ribosomal RNA", at positions 524 to 776 of the family's 1533-position model. The record is from RNAcentral.